CGGAGGGCGCGAGCGUUGUUCGGAAUUAUUGGGCGUAAAGCGCACGUAGGCGGCUUUGUAAGUCUCACUGUGAAAGCCCGGGGCUCAACCCCGGGAGGCCAGGGGAUACUGCGAGGCUGGAGACAAGCAGAGGUCGGUAGAAUUCCGGGUGUAGCGGUGGAAUGCGUAGAGAUCCGGAGGAAUACCAGAGGCGAAGGCGGCCGACUGGGCUUGUUCUGACGCUGAGGUGCGAAAGCGUGGGGAGCGAACAGGAUUAGAUACCCUGGUAGUCCACGCCGUAAACGAUGGGCACUAGAUGCCGGUGGGAUCGACCCCUUCGGUGUCGCAGCUAACGCAUUAAGUGCCCCGCCUGGGGAGUACGGCCGCAAGGCUG
RNAcentral lists this ribosomal RNA (373 nucleotides) under uncultured organism. Its description in RNAcentral is "bacterial SSU rRNA". It matches the Rfam family "Bacterial small subunit ribosomal RNA", at positions 526 to 896 of the family's 1533-position model. The record is from RNAcentral.